AGUGAACGCUGGCGGUAUGCCUAACACAUGCAAGUCGAACGGACGCACAGUAAGCUCUUGCCCUUACCGUUGGCGAGGGGCGGACGGGUGAGGCAUGCAUAGCCAUCUUCUUUUUCUUGGGGGAUUUCGUAGGGCAACUUACACUAAUACCUCAUACGUCCUACGGGUGGGAGCAGGAGAUCAUCGGACCUUGCGCGUUUGAAUGAGCCGGUGCCGGAUUAGCUAGUUGGCGAGGUAAAGGCCCACCAAGGCGACGAUGCGUAGCUGAUCUGAGAGGAUGAUCAGCCACACUGGAACUGAGACACGGUCCAGACUCCUACGGGAGGCAGCAGUGGGGAAUAUUCGGCAAUGGGCGAAAGCCUGACGGAGCAACGCCGCGUGAGUGAUGAAGGUCUUCGGAUCGUAAAACUCUGUUGUUAGGGAAGAACAAAUGUGUGAGUAACUAUGCACGUUUUGACGGUACCUAAAGAGAAAGCAACGGCUAACUACGUG
Molecule: ribosomal RNA, 492 nt
Filed under: uncultured bacterium
Lineage: Bacteria
Description: partial 16S ribosomal RNA
Rfam family: Bacterial small subunit ribosomal RNA
Source: RNAcentral